Molecule: long non-coding RNA, 208 nt
Organism: Perognathus longimembris pacificus (Pacific pocket mouse)
Lineage: Eukaryota; Metazoa; Chordata; Mammalia; Rodentia; Heteromyidae
Exons: 4
Source: RefSeq, a predicted model, not a curated record
UAGGGUCUGACUCACUUCACUUAGUAUGAUUUUUUCCAAGUCAAAAUUAAAAAAAUUAAAUUCCUGCAAGACAAAUCCUCAAAAACCAGCAGCCCCCUUAACAAGUGGGCUAAAGACCUAAUAAGAGACUUCUCUGAAGAGGAAAUGAGAAUGGCCAAGAGACACAUGAACAAAUGCUCAACAUCACUAGCCAUAAAGAAAUGCAAAU